CGACGUCUUUGCCGAGUGCAUUGCCAAAACACUCGGCAAAGGCGUCAUAAAAUUUUUGCAGGAUUGGCCCGUUUGCCGAGUGCCAAGAGGAAGGCACUCGGCAAAAUAUGCAACUUUGCCGAGUGCCACUAGGAAACACUCGGCAAACAGCUGAAAGAAAUCUGGCGGGUGGGGCCUCUUUGCCGAGUGCCGCAUAAAAUACACUCGGCAAAGAUGUCAUGUUUGCCGAGUGUCAUCUGAAAUACACUCGGCAAACUGUGUACCUUCACCGAGUGCAAUGUAUAAAUACACUCGGCAAAAUUUAAGGGUUCGCCGAGUGUCUGCCGUCUGACACUCGGCAAAGUAGCUGUUACCGUCGCUGACCGUUAUCGCCUUUGUGCCGAGUGUUAUAUUUUGCCGAGUGUUUUGUGGCACUCGGCAAAGGCUUUGCCGAGUGCCCGAUGGUCGACACUCGGCAAACACACUGUUUGCCGGAGGGAACUUUGCCGAGUAUAGUUCGCCGAGUGUUACACUCGGCAAACCCUUUGCCGAGUGUAUUUGGCCCUUCGCCGAGUGCCUGGGGCACUCGGCAAAGUUACUGUUUCCGGUAGUG
This 592-nucleotide long non-coding RNA is filed under the name Setaria italica (foxtail millet). Its description in RNAcentral is "long non-coding RNA (SITA_LNC001042)". Lineage: Eukaryota; Viridiplantae; Streptophyta; Magnoliopsida; Poales; Poaceae. The record is from RNAcentral.